UCUAAACCCAGGAUUAACCAUCUUCCCUCCAUCCCACAUUUUAGAAGGUCUUCGUCAAAGAGGGUUUUUUCUGGACGAUCAUUGAAAAAAUAGCACCAUCUCCUGGUCCAAAGGUGAGUUGUUGGGCAUACCGUUAGGUGACGCGGUUGAUUGGCCUCCAUGCUUACUGAUGAAGUGACUGCGUUUGAUGCCUACCUACUGAAGAAGACGGCCCCGGUUCGACUCGACGCUUACGAUUUUUCCAAGAAUAUGUAAGCAAAUUGUACCGGGAAAAUGUCUAUCCAUUACAAGUUCAAAUCGGCGAUUGACUAUGAUACAAUUACGUUUGAUGGCCUGCAUAUCUCAGUUGCCGACUUAAAAAAGGCAAUUGUCUACCAGAAGAAAUUGGGCAAGGCUACAGACUUUGACCUUAUGAUCACAAAUGCGCAGACAAAUGAAGUUUAUACGGAUGAAUCUGCAUUGAUUGCCAAGAACACUUCAUUGAUUGUUGCGCGGGUUCCUGUAGCUGGUGCCACCAACAAAAAAUUCUGGGAUAGAGGCGAACCUUCAUUGAUCGGAACUUCAAGUGCGUCGUCGUCUUCGUCAUCAAAGGGUGGUCCCCCGCCGACCAGAAAUGAAAACGAAGUCACAGUUGCCAUGGCGAACAUCAGUGCUGAAUCUUCCGGUUCCGCGCUCGACAAUUUGGCCCAGGCAACUGAUCUGUCACGGAGUGAAGCUUCCGAAGAGGACAAAAUCAAAGCGAUGAUGACCCAAUCAACUCAGGAUUAUGAUCCGUCUAAAUACAUGAAAAUUCGUGGUCAAGGCCAGGUUGGACCUGUUCCUGGUAACUAUUGCUGUUUUAAAUGUGGUAUGCCUGGUCAUUGGAUCAAGCAAUGCCCAUUAAAUCUGACAAUGGAUAUUAAGAAAAGCACGGGAAUUCCACGUAGUUUCAUGGUCCCUGUUGAAGGACCAGAAGUUCCUGGUGCGAUGAUGACUCCAUCUGGCCAUUUUGCCGUCCCAGCAAUUGAUCAUGAGGCAUAUCGGGAGGUCAAGAAAGAAAGACCGCCUUUUCAGGCUGAUUCGCCUACCCCUGAGAUAGCCAAACCUGUCAUUCCAUCUGAAUUACUUUGUUCUUUAUGCAAAGAUUUGCUAUCGGACGCAGUACUUAUUCCCUGUUGUGGUGACUCUUUCUGUGAUGAUUGUAUACGAGCUCUCCUUCUUGAUUCAGAAGAACAAGAAUGCCCCCAGUGUCAUACGAAAGCUGUUUCUCCCGACACGUUGAUACCUAAUCGAUUUCUGCGUACCGCCGUAACAAACUUCCGCAGUGAAACGGGCUAUACAAAAGCUACGCCCGUUGCGCCUGCCGUUAUCGAGCCUGUGGUUGUUCCAGAAGUUAAGGAAGACGUUGAAGAGGAAAAAGAAGAGCCCGAACUUAUUUUGGAGGAUGAGGAAUUCAAAGAAGAAAUGGUUGCUUCUCCAGCGGUAGACGAAGAGUUCAUUGAAGAACCCAGCGAGCCACCACCACCAGGAGGGGAAAGUCUUGAAGAGGUUAGAAUCCCUACACCUACAGUCGACGAAAAGCCAGCUGCUGCGGAAGUGAACCAAUCUGAUGUGGUUAAACAGUCACCUACUGCACCAUCCAAAACUGUCACCCCAGCUGUCAACAAUUUGUCCAUUUUAGCUCAGAAAGCACCCUUAAUUGCAUUACAGCAAGCUUUGUUGCAAGGAAAUCCACUCUUGCUUGGCUCGCAGAAUAUACAACAGAUUGCCCUAAUUCAACAAGGGCUAAUGGCGAUGCAACGUAUCCCUCAUUCUUCGCAGUCAGCCCCCCUGUUGCCUACCCCUAGUACUGUACAGACUGCACCAGCCCCGCCAGCAUUACCGCCACAGAAUUCUGUGCCGAUCCAGCCCCUUAUGACUGCCCAGCCUCCCACUCACAUGCCACCGCCGGGAUUCCCGCGAUCGAUGCCGCCACCCCGGUUUCAGGGUCCAUCCAUCCCACCACCCGGAGCUAGACCAAUGCUACCACCAGGAGGACCAAGAGGGCUACCUCCGAUGGGUUACCCAGGUGCUCCACCAUUUCCCCCCAACGGCAUGGGAAUGCCUCCAGGUUACGGCAACCAUGCUUCCAGUGCUGCCAAUCAGCUGGCCAGCCAUCCGAUCUUACAGCAAGGUGUGAUAGAAGAUCCCUUGGCUGCCUUCGAAAAACUCCUGAAAGAGAAAGAAGAACGUGAUAGGGCACGAAAAAAACGAAGAUCGAUUUCGCGUUCACGAAGUCGGUCUCGGUCUAGAACACGUCGGUCCAAAUCACCUCGACAGCGCAGUCGAUCACGAAGUGGAUCUCCACCCCGAAGGCGUUCUCGAUCUCAUUCCCCCAGUCGUCGAAGACGAAGUCCAGCUGUGCGUGGUCGUAGGGGUAGAUCGCGAUCACGUUCUCCAUCAGGUGGAAGAUCUCCUAGUCCAAGAAGUGGCGGACGACAUGGUUUCUAUGAUCGAUCACCUUCACACGGAUCGCCCGGAAGGUAUCCUCGUGAGUACCGCGAAGAUUUCAGCACUGCUGCAUCAGCAAACUAUUAUCCUCCCUACGGUUAUCCGCCUAUGGGUCCGCAAGGCCCACCGAUGCGAGGAUACGGUGGCCCUCCAGGUCCUAUGGGCCCGAUAGGCAGGGGUGGCCCAAUGGGAGGUUAUGUGCCACGAGGACCCCACUUCGGAAUUGGCAUGCCGAGAGGAAUGGGCCCGCGCGGGCCUUAUCCUCCUGGAUACAUGGGACCAAGAGGACCAAUGGGAAUUGUAGGUGCUCCUCCAUCUCUGCUUUCGCUAGACUUGGGUCGAGGGCGUGGAUAUCGGGAGGAACGACGAGCUGAUUACGAGCGUGAAUAUUAUCCCGAUUCAGACAGGACCCGUCGAUCGCCUCCACCCCCUCCACCAGGAGAAUUUGAAUCGGACGCUCCUCUUAUUUACACGAAACCUCGGCGUCCUGAUCAGCCAGAAAAAGUUCCAGAGAAACCCAGGGAGAGGGUGAAGGAACGCGAACGUGAAAGGGAACAUGGCUAUAUGAAGGAUAGCCGUGAACGAGAUCGAGAAAGAGAUAGAGAUCGAGGUGAUCGAGACAAGGACAGAGAACGUGACCGUGACCGAGAGCGCGAAAAGGAUCGAGAACGAGACAGAGAACGAGAUCGUGACCGUGAAAAGGUUCGAUCCCGUCACGAUGGCCGGGAUACAAAAGAGAGCAGCCGAAGGGCGGAAGUUGUAUCGCGGGAACGGGAACGUGAGCGUGGGGGCUCCCACAGUUCGGUCAGUAGCAGAUCCAGCACGGCGACGAAAGAUAAAUCCAAAGAAAAAGAAAAGGACCGUGAUAAGGACAAGGAGAAAAAAAAGGAAAAGAAAGACAAGGAUGACGAAGACAAGAAAAAAGACAAGAAACGCAAAAAGAAGAAAGAAAAGGAAAAGGAGAAGGAAAAAGAAAAGGACAAGAAGGACAAGAAGAAGAGCAAACAUGAGAAAAAGAAGAGUGUCGACAUUGAAGACCAAGCUGAGGCUGCAAAAACACAAAGCCAACCAGAGCAACCAGUUCCGGGUGAUUGUAGCGGAUUCGAUGAUGCAGUUGCUACGGAGGCUGAUAAAAGUCAAUUGGAGAAUGUUGACAAUAAAGAAAGCAAUGACCAGCGAGUUGGGACAGUGCAAGAGGAUGAAGCCGCCUUAGAAGAUGUGCUCAUCAUAACAACAGAUAAAAGCCUCGAAUCGCUCGUGGACGAUGUAGCACCUGCUGAAGAAGAUGCCGAUCGCCAGAGAACGCAAGUUAGGAAGGAACGAAGCCGCGAAAGAGAGAAGGAUGACAAAGUAGUCAAAGAUAAAGUUCUUCCGCUGCCGCACUCGCGUUGGGAAGAAGAUUCGGAAGAAGAAGAAGCAUCGGAUUCCUUUAAGAACGUGUCCGACAUUGUCUCAAUCGGAGCAGAUCCUGGACCAAUCAAAAGGGCAGAUAACGCCAUCUUUCGUCGAGCAAUAAGCGCAAUCAAGCCGAAAGUGAUUGAAAUUAAAUUGCGACCAGAACGGCGUGUUCUGCUUGAUUCUUCCGCACCAGAGAAGGUUAUUGGAGAUCUUGACUUGGAUAUUAAUAAUACAAGAGUAUCUCCAGAUUCCUUACUUAAUCUGAGAGUUGCACCACCACCGUUGUUGAUACCGAAAUUCAAUCCUGCCCCUGUUGAUCUGAAACUUCCUGAAAUCGACGACAAGAAGAAAUCGGUCCGGGACAGGUUAGGCGACAAAGUUGAACCGGAACAACAACCACUUGCUAGGAAUCACGAUAAGGUAGAUGACACCAAAGAUAAAGAUAAAUCUAAGGAUAAAAAGGACGGAGGUAAAAAAGACAAGGACAAACGAUCUAGUCCUGCCAAAGAGAAGAAGGAUCGCAAAGAUGAUAAACGUGACAAAGACAAACGAAGUCGGACAAAGGAGAAAGACAAGGAGAAGAAACACAAGCGGAAAGAAAAGGAAGAAAAGAAAAACAAGGAUGAUAAAGAGAAAAAGGAUGAAGUGAAGCCUUCUAGUGACGUUCGCCACGGCGACAAAACAAAAUCGAGCAAAAAUGAUGAGAAACAAAUCGCAGAUAAAGACAAAGAAAAAUCGGAAAAAAUCAAGAAGCGGAAGCGUUCCUGGUCUAGUAGUACGAGCAGUAGUAGUUCCAGCAGUACUUCAGAGUCGGAUAGCAGCUCAUCUGAAUCGGGUGGUGGUAGUAAGCGUAAGAAGAAAAGCCGAAAGAAGCGCCACGUCUCUUCGAGCAGUGAUUCAUCCGAUUCGAGCCGCGAAACAAAGAAGAAGAAGAAAAAGUCUAAAAAGACGUCAUCGAAGCGGAAGCAGAAAAAGGCGUCGUCGCAGUGAAAACAGCGCUUCUCUGUAACAUUUGGACUAGCCUUCGUUUUCCUCAUGAACUUUGACCCGUUAACCGGGAUUUUCACACGGAUCGUCCACAGUUCAAAUAUUUACAUUGCGGUGGAAAACGAUGCAAUGUAAACAAGACGAUUUGUUUAUACAAUCUCAUAGUACGUCCAACAUGUGCCUAUUUGUAUGUAGUAUGUAUGUAGUACAUACACACAUCGGGCACUAUUGAGUCUAAGCAGAGAAAAUAAAACCAAGACUCAUGGCACGUUUCUGUUAUUCUAUUCGCGUGUAGAUACAUCGAGACUAUCUCACGAUCGGUAUCGACUGAAGGUAGUAAUUCUUGUAAAGGUUUAUCUUUCAAAGUCACGCAUUUUCUUUUCCAUCCUCGAACCAUCCCGUGUUUAAACACACACCGGUGGGUAGUAUAAGAUUAUUUACACGUGGGCGGAUCUGGUGCAAAUGUUUAUGGAUGGAAACAGCAGUCGUUGGAGGGGAGACCAGCGUAUAGUCUCCCAACACGCGAACUCGUUUCUCCACUAGUGGACUUGCUGCGGCUCGCAACGCCUUUUGCUAUAUCGGUAUAACAUCCAACAAGAAAUAACAAAUAGUUCAUAAGCCCAACUGAGAAGACGGAUGUGCUGUCUGUUGAUGUAAACGAAUGGUCGCGUGUUGGCGGUGGGAAAGCAAUUUGAUGGUGGGUAUUGAAUAAGAAAGAGCAGAAAAAAGAAAAACUCACGCAUUGACAGAUAUUCACGUUCGGAUACAUCCGUUCGUGAUUAUUACUUCCCAAUUACAAUUAGGUAGUUUUCAUUGCAAUUCCAAGAAAGAGACCUGUAAGUAAUGAGUCAACGUAAUGCAUGAAGGCUCUGCUAGUAGCAGACUAAAAGUCACGCACUUUUUUGUAUCUUUUGCCGCCAGAGUCGAAGCAAAGAUGGAAGAUGCGACAGCUGCCCGCGAUAAAGACUGCCAUGAUGAUCUUGAUCCUGUGCAGCAUGAUUUCAUUUCAACGGGAAAGAGCAGCAGCAAGCAGCCCUAUAUCUUCUUCUUCUGUUCUAUUCCAAAACAUCAAGAGGAGAUAAUGGCCAGAGCCGACCUCUUGGUGCUGCUGCAUGCCCUGACUAGUCAAUUAUACACUCUACUCUAGCUCACUGUUGUGUGUAUAUACAUCACAAGCGUCUCUUUCUGUAUGCUGUGUUUCUUUUCUCCCCCCUUUCUAAAAACUUGCUUCUAAUACUGGUAUUUACGAGUGUGUUUCGAGAGGUCCUGCUGGCUUCGUUCCCGCACGUGCUCCCCACUUGAAGCCACCCUAGACAAAGCUGGUUUUUUUUCACUCAAAGAUGAGACUCAUGUGCUCCGUUUCGAAUCCUCAGUUGUAAAUGGUAAAAAACCAAACAACGAUUUAAAAGUCGGGAAAGAAGAAGAAAGAAACAGAAAAUAUAAAUAUCUUUUCGGACUUUUGGUAUGUGAACGAUUCCGGUGUGCACUGGAUGGAUCGUUGCCCCUUAUCUCAACACCAACAUAAAGACGCGCGGUCUCUCUAUGUCAAUCUGUCACAUAACAUCUCUUCCACUUCUCUCGAAAAAACCUUUUUUUUUUUUUGCCUUUCUUCACCCCGAGCGUGGAAGAUGUGCAAGAAAGAUCAGACAAAUUUACACUCUAGCAGACUACAAAGAGUGGUGAAUCAUUUUCUCAUCUUGGCCAUCGUCACGGCAGUUGCAUUAUCAUCAAAUGAAAUGAGUCACAUAAAGUAUAUACCGAUGAAAGCCACUUUGCCACUGCCAUAAAAAAAAAAAGAAAGCCGUAGGGCAAGAUUCGUGUCUUCGUGUCUCUCUAUUUCAGUUGGUAUUUUUUCAGUUUCCGCCUCCUUUUUGGCUGCAUUCCGAAGAAAUGCAACGUUGCACAGCAAUUUCGACGCCAGGUGGCGGUGAACGAAAAACAUACACUACAGUCCCAGCACUCGACUCAAGGCAACUAGUUCGAGUUUGAGACGCGCGCGCAUCCUGCUGUGUGUGUUUGUGAGUGAGGCCGUGGUGUUGCGGAUUCCUUGACUAUUAUACUCGAAACGUGCUCACGAUCGGGACCUUCUCAGUGUCAGCGUGACUCGACUGUGUGCUGGUUCGUUAUUGGAUGUUCGUGAAAAUCCACGUUGGCGAUCGCCAGUGUGUGUAACGAGGAGGAGGAAAAGUGGCAGCGGCUGGCCCACUCACUCAAGUUCGCCCGUUUCGUUAGGGAAAGGAAGUUGGAUUUACCCGCGGGCUACGGUCAGGUGUGACAGGGCCCUCUUUCAUUCGUAUCUACCACCACCCUCUUUACCUUUGCCGAGGGUUGUGAGAGAGACGAGAGAAAAAGACCGUGGGAAUGGUUUCUUUGUCAUCCGCAAGGCCAGAAUGCUUCGUCUAGAUG
RNA transcript from Daphnia magna, 7260 nucleotides. It is a transcript of the gene named E3 ubiquitin-protein ligase RBBP6, with no coding region annotated. The record is from RefSeq and is a predicted model, not a curated record. NCBI's taxonomy places the organism in Eukaryota, Metazoa, Arthropoda, Branchiopoda, Diplostraca, Daphniidae. The transcript has 21 exons.